ACUUCUUAAAUAUACAUAUACAUAUACAUAUACUUUCUUGUUUCCUUUUAUUCUUGAAACAAAAAUCAGCUUUAUGAUAAAAGAAUCACAGUCAAUUAAUUUAUAUCGUUUAGGAUGAAAAAAACAUUUAUAUUAACCAGCGGGGUUAGCCUAGUGGUAUUUGAGGGAGCUUCGGUCCCGAUACGGUCCCGGGUUCGAUUCCCACUGGCCACACGGAUAUGAGCUAUGCUUUCGGCUCAUUUGAAUGCCCAGGAGAGGGUCUAUCCGUGGGCUGUACCUCCACCCGGGGGUUAGGUCUGUGUCUUUAAUAGACCCGGGUUUAACCCUUUUUUUUAUCAAAAAAAAAAAAAAAAAAAAAAACAUUUAUAUUUUCGUUUAAUGUUCCGAGUAUUGUCGUCAUUCUUGUACUAGGUUUGUGUUUAUGAUUUUGUAAUUCGCCUCAAUAGCCGAUCCAAGCAAGUUCAAGCCCUAUAAAAGCGAUUGACACGUUAUAAGCAAAAGAAAAAAAAUAAAAAAAAAAUAAUAAAUUCUUAAAGUUUAUACCCCGUUGAUGAUACGAGAUCCUUCCGCGACGACUUUCGGCCUCCCCGACUUGCUCGUGGCCGGAGGAGCAUCGAAACCCGACAGAAGACCAGCGAAGAAAUCAUCAAAGUUCGGAAUAGGGACCUCGCUCGUACCGCUUCCAUCGCCGAAAGCAAGGUCCGGAUCCCAUCCUGGGAGCAUGCAAUCGUCCACUGAAAACUCCAGGUCACCGAGGUCAAUAUCUCUCCCCUUCGAAGAGUUCAGCCCCGUCGCAAUCGUGGGAGCGGCGUCGGGACCUUGGUCUUCAGGUUCGGAAUCACUCCUUGCUCCUCCGCCCAAAGCAGGACUAGGAUGCACAAACCUCAGCGCCUUUCGAAUUCUCUUCGGCGUAAAGGAAGUCCAGAAAAAAGGACCAUUCUUGAGCAGAUCCCUCACCGCAAUAAUGUCUUCAGGAAACGGAGCAAGAGGAUUGAUAAAGGGACGAUCGUUCGGCAACCUCCGAAACAAUGGGAUACAACUCUCCUCAACGGACGCGACGUCUACACGAACGAAGAAGAAAAACUUCUUCCACGAGUAGAAGUUAGAAGUAAACCCCUUUACCAGUGACAUGAAGUUCCGAGGAACCAGCCUGUACGUGUCCGUAUCCUUGAUGAUCUGUAACCGAAGAAGCACUUCGAAGUGAUCGACGGUGAGGGGGAGACCAUGCUCGUAGCUCAGUAUCAGGAUUCCUAUGAGGUGAUGGACGCCAAGAGGAUUCAGUUGGCUUAUCGCCACCCCGAAACGACCCAACACACGGACGAUAAUCUCGGGGAUCGGGAACCACAAACGACAACACACUACGAAUGCCUCGUAACAAGUAAAGAAGCCCUCCGGGGGACUACUAGCGCAUUCUCCUUGACGAGGAACCCUGAAUUCCACCGCGUCCGAAAUAUGGUAGAACGACCUCAUGACCUCGAGAAAUUCAGUAGUACUCCUACUUGGUGCACCUGCCUUCACCGGGCGAUGGUUCAUGACCGGGAACGAUUUUUCUUUGGGAGGCGUGAUCGAACCGUAACUCGCCACCCACCAUGCCUCGUUCUCGGCUGGGUCUACCGAAUGAGAAACGAAUUCCAACUUCGGCACUCGAAGCUCUUCAGAAACGUUCGUGGGCAAAGACCCUUUCUUCAAACUCCUCUUCUUACUCGACAUCUCGUGUUUUUCUUUUUGAUCAAGGAGGAAAUGAUAGAGAGAAAGAAAAAGAAUAAAGAACUUUUCAAGAAAACCUCUCUAUGAGAAUGAGUAAGUGUAAAGAUUGUGAAGAAAUUACCUCCCUUCUUAUAGGCAUGAGAAAUUACUAUUUACUUGCGGAUUUUUGGACACGAACUUUGCCCAAAUACACCAAUCUCGUCCGAACUCGCCAUACCGCGCAUUGGGAUCUCACUAGAAAUCCACGCUCCCAACGAGCUGGGGGGCUAACUGUUGGGGUCAAAAACGGUUGCGACGAAGUUAACGUCCAAAUCCCCGAAGAAGAAAACGUAGAAACCUUCUUCGACAAAUAAUUUUUUGAAAUAGAUUCUUCUUUACGAAAAGAUGACAAUGGAGGAAGUCGACCUGGNNNNNNNNNNNNNNNNNNNNNNNNNNNNNNNNNNNNNNNNNNNNNNNNNNNNNNNNNNCCGUAAUAAACGCUUCGAGUCGGAAGACGGCCCAAAGGGACCUAAGACAUGACUCGAGGCCCAACUUACGAUUUCUUAACCAACAGCCCGUAAGCCGCAUGACGGUUUACGCUUGGUUCGCAAGGAAAGAUAAAUGUCAAGUUUCCGCGGAUAAAUACGAAAUUUUGAAGAUAAUUACGAAGACCGGAAAAAAUGGAAUAUCUCCAUUUUUAUGCUAUGGCGGCUUCAGGGCAGAAGGGGAAAAACGUAAACCGACCUUGGAGCCAGUAUAUAAGGAGUCCUAGGCGAGAGGCAUUGAGGAGAACUUUUACACAGCAAACUUAGCACUUAGAGCGAUUUUAGGCAAUUUUCCGUUUUUGUUAUUCGAGCUGCGACUCAAUUAGGUUUUUGCCGUCUUAGGGUUUUAGAACUAGGAAUCUCGCCGACAGCUCUCGUAGCCCAGGCACUUACCUUGUUGUAAACGCUCAAACGUAGAUUCGGAAUAAGAACUAUCUUGCUCUCUUUUUCGAUUUCUUAUUUUAUUAUUGUUCUCGUUUCGUGUUCUGAUUGCUUGGCGUUUGGUAUUAGCAGAUAUCCGGAACUUCUGGGAAAUUAGGGUUCUCAUACUUUCCUAAUUUAAACGGAAAUCGACAGUGCAAAAUUCGGUUCCCACAAACACUUGAUCAGAACUAUCAAGAGAAAGUCUUUCAAACACAAGACAGUCCCGUCGAGAUAUUAAUUUACUCAUUCAUUUUAAUUUUUGAUUCUGGUCGAACCAACUCCAAUCUGAUCGAGCGGGAUUUUUCUCGACCAAAUCCUAUCCACUUGUGAGGGUCUUUACAACGAAUGCAGGCGGUGGUGGCAUGUAGGUCGUUUUUUUGAGGUCUUGUCCACUUCAUAAGAUAUAUAAAAUGUCAGGUGUAAAAUCAUCUAUAUAAUAACACAAUUAAUCAGAGUUAAAAAUAUAUAUGUUUAGAUUUCAACUGUUUCGUUAUUUAUAGCAUUUCCUUAUAUAAACCAAAUUCUUAUUUCUUGAUUUUUACCCAAAAUAUGUAUAUUAUGAAUUAUAUAUAUUUUAUAAAUUUUAUUCUAUUUUUGGAUGGGAAAAUAAACAUUUGGUAAAAGUGCGCGAGUCUAGUGCAUUACAUAUCAAAUAAGUAAAACAAAAAUCCAGUGCGCGAGUCUAGUGCAUUACAUAUUCCUUUAGUUUCGGUUAAGAUGUGGUUUCGCAUAAUUCCAGAUUUUUUUCAAAAAAAAAGUAAAACAAAAAUCUGGAAUUAUGCGAAACGACAUCUUAACCGAAACUAAAGGAGGUAAAUAGCUUUAAAUCGAUAUUUUAUCGCAUGGGAUACACUCCACUUCUUAAAUAUACAUAUACAUAUACAUAUACUUUCUUGUUUCCUUUUAUUCUUGAAACAAAAAUCAGCUUUAUGAUAAAAGAAUCACAGUCAAUUAAUUUAUAUCGUUUAGGAUGAAAAAAACAUUUAUAUUAACCAGCGGGGUUAGCCUAGUGGUAUUUGAGGGAGCUUCGGUCCCGAUACGGUCCCGGGUUCGAUUCCCACUGGCCACACGGAUAUGAGCUAUGCUUUCGGCUCAUUUGAAUGCCCAGGAGAGGGUCUAUCCGUGGGCUGUACCUCCACCCGGGGGUUAGGUCUGUGUCUUUAAUAGACCCGGGUUUAACCCUUUUUUUUAUCAAAAAAAAAAAAAAAAAAAAACAUUUAUAUUUUCGUUUAAUGUUCCGAGUAUUGUCGUCAUUCUUGUACUAGGUUUGUGUUUAUGAUUUUGUAAUAUAUUACAUUUGUUCCUAACAUAAACAAAUUGGAAUUAAGUUAAAAAAAAAAAAAAAAAAUUGGAAUUUUUAUUUCUGUUUUUCUUCUUCACUGCAGCAUGUUACUUUAGUAAUUAAUAAACUCAGUUGUUAUAGAUAUUUUGUUAUAGUUCAUUUUCACUGAAAUUGCAUAAUAUCGGAUUGAUUUCAUAUAUAAAAUGUCCAUACUAGACCUAUAAAUUUGAACUACCGUAGUUUUGUAGUAGAUCUAUGGAACCGAUUUCCAAAAGGCCUUUUAUGUUAUUUCUUCACCUUUUUUUCUUAUUUAUCAGUACAUAUACGGUCAUGUAUUAUGAAUUCUUAAUUGAUUCAACAAACUCUUUUUCAUCAAUAAUUCAGUUUGUCCCGAGUAAAUUAAUAUGUAAAGCUAUAAAAUUUUUGUGUAAGAAAUAACAAUGAUCCAUCAUUUUACAUGUAAAUUAACAUGAUAUGUUUAGAUUAUCUUUAUAUCAGAUUAUUUACAAUUUUUGUAUGUCUAAAAGUUAAUCAGUGAGUUUUAGAAAUAUAUAAUUAUUACUUUGAAUAUUUUAAUAAUAUGUAAAAAAUUAUCGAAAACAUUUACUUUCACAUCCAAAGAAUACUGUUAUUUUUAUUACAUAAUCCGAGAUUUAUAUAUUUUAUACAUAACAGUAGCCGGGACAAUGGGGAAUAUAAGGCAGGAGAGUCAAAAAGAAAUGCAUUUGUGUAUGGUAAUUCUAAAUAACCAAAAACCUGGAAAAUGUGCGAAGGCAGAUUGUUUAUCUACGUGUAAGAAGCAGACGCAA
This 4745-nucleotide long non-coding RNA is filed under the name Brassica napus (rape). RNAcentral's name for it is "long non-coding RNA (BNAP_LNC012338)". The record is from RNAcentral. Lineage: Eukaryota; Viridiplantae; Streptophyta; Magnoliopsida; Brassicales; Brassicaceae.